This 79-nucleotide non-coding RNA is filed under the name marine eukaryotic metagenome. RNAcentral describes it as "Cyclic di-GMP-I riboswitch". It matches the Rfam family "c-di-GMP-I riboswitch aptamer", at positions 8 to 85 of the family's 87-position model. From Rfam's summary of the family: GEMM was predicted in a large-scale screen for bacterial structured RNA regulatory elements. Genes associated with GEMM are involved in a diverse array of functions, including chemotaxis regulation, signal transduction, secretion and chitin. The record is from RNAcentral.
CGCCAAGGGCAAACCCGUCGUGAGGCGGGGACGCAAAGCCACAGCUCUGCGGCGCAGGUCGCAGAGGGCUGGGUUGCCG